CAAAGGGUCGCUGGUUCCAUACCCAGUCAGGGCUCAUGCCUGGGUUGCAGGCCAGGUUCCCAGUCGGGGGUGUGGGAGAUGCAACCACACAUUGAUGUUUCUCUCCCUCUCUCCCUCCCU
This is a long non-coding RNA of Phyllostomus discolor (pale spear-nosed bat), 120 nucleotides long. RefSeq lists it as uncharacterized. The transcript has 2 exons. Lineage: Eukaryota; Metazoa; Chordata; Mammalia; Chiroptera; Phyllostomidae. The record is from RefSeq and is a predicted model, not a curated record.